This 433-nucleotide ribosomal RNA is filed under the name uncultured bacterium. RNAcentral describes it as "partial 16S ribosomal RNA". It matches the Rfam family "Bacterial small subunit ribosomal RNA", at positions 29 to 507 of the family's 1533-position model. The record is from RNAcentral.
AACGAACGCUGGCGGCAUGCCUAACACAUGCAAGUCGAACGAGACCUUCGGGUCUAGUGGCGCACGGGUGCGUAACGCGUGGGAACCUGCCCUUAGGUUCGGAAUAACUCCCCGAAAGGGGUGCUAAUACCGGAUAAUGUCUUCGGACCAAAGAUUUAUCGCCUUUGGAUGGGCCCGCGUUGGAUUAGCUAGUUGGUAGGGUAAAAGCCUACCAAGGCGACGAUCCAUAGCUGGUCUGAGAGGAUGGUCAGCCACACUGGGACUGAGACACGGCCCAGACUCCUACGGGAGGCAGCAGUGGGGAAUAUUGGACAAUGGGCGGAAGCCUGAUCCAGCAAUGCCGCGUGAGUGAUGAAGGCCUUAGGGUUGUAAAGCGCUUUUAACCGGGAUGAUAAUGACAGUACCGGGAGAAUAAGCUCCGGCUAACUCCGUG